RNAcentral lists this long non-coding RNA (1554 nucleotides) under Homo sapiens (human). Its description in RNAcentral is "non-protein coding lnc-LRRN4-2:1". The record is from RNAcentral. Lineage: Eukaryota; Metazoa; Chordata; Mammalia; Primates; Hominidae.
AAAGCCUGAGGAGACUUGGACCAUUUUCCUAAGGGAUGAAGCGGGAAACGUUUAUUAACCAGAGCCAGAUUGAGACCUUAAUAAUAAAAAGAUAUGGGUCCAACCCAUAGGUCACUCCAAAUGGCAUCAACACUAAACCAUAAAUAAGCGUUAACAAAGUGCAAAGUUCUAAAUUUUCGCAUAGCUACUUCAAGUCCUCUCUUUUUUAAACAUUAUUCUUAUGUGGCUCACCCGUCACUAAUGCUCAGUGUGCCUCUUGGGUGGCUCAGCAGUGGGAAGUCCACUUUCAGCCUAACUACUCCUAACAAUGAAGCUGUUCUCCAGAGAGCAAGAAUAGCCAGCCACAUGCCCCCUUCUCUGCUUUUUCAUCCCCCUCCAUCUGAUUCAAUGGCGGUGUCCCUGGCUGCAGGCUUCAGUAUGCUUCAAGCCAAGCGCAGCUCAGCUGCCAGUCUGAGAACAACCAGGACCAGCAAGCCACAGAGGGACACGCUGGUGCAGAAUGCCUGGCCAAGAGGCAUGAGUUUUACUUACAGCCUCCCAUUCUAAUUUAAUGCAGCUCAACAGGCUGAGAAUGGAUAAUCUCACUGCAGUAUUCCAUAAUAGGCUUGGAUUAAAACCAGGGACAAUGGGCAGCAAUAGGCCAUAGGUUAAGCAGCAGCAACUAGUCACCACUGGACUGUCUUCUUCUCCCCUUCCCCAUAUCCCACAUUCUCCUAAACAUGAUGUACGUGUAGCAACAGUCUUUUAAAGUCAGAUGGUCAGACUAAUUAUUUUUACAAUUUAAGUGUAAGUGAUGUACAUGAAUGGACUCUGUGAAUCGGAAAACUUACGUAACAGCAGAGAAUACGUAUGUUAUAUGGAACAACCUGAGUUGAAGGUACAAUUUUUUUUCCAGCUCUUUUAUUCCUUUAACUGCUUAACAAAAGAAAGAGUCUCCAAAGUUUAAAAAACCUUUGAAAAAUAUACAGCUUGAUAUUAUUUACAUAAAAUAUGAAUCCAGGUUCCAAUAUCAAACAAACAUUGCUAUGUCAGAAACACAGUGGAAGGCAGGAACGUAACUCACUGCCUUUUAGAUGCAAAGACUAAUAGACACGUUCUCCUAUCUCGACUAUCUUUGUUACCUGUUAUCCUCAAACAUAAAUUAUUAGGCACCUGAGAGGUUGGAAGACUACCGAAAAUGAACUUCAUACCUUCUGUAUGAUUAUUAUCUUAAAAAGUUACCGCAUUUUUAAUCUCUUUUAUAACUUUACUUCAUCUACAACUAACUUCACUUUCAUUAUCCCAAAUGAUCAGGUAUUAAUUACAUGAACUGUUAAUGUAUACACAGACCUAAAAAUCAAACAAAAAUGUAUUGCCCAGUUGUGUAGGAUAUAUAUUUGAACCCCAUGACAUUUCCUAGUGCUUUGUGAGCAAUCCAAAUUUCACUUAAAAGAGAGGUGUCAAUUCUGCCCAUGCUCUGGACUAUGUUUUUAAAAAACAUACAAAAAAGACUGACAAUAAUUGAUCUCUUAUAAAUUAAUCAAGAAACCUAAGAUUAAAAAUUCUAAAUUACAA